This 1352-nucleotide ribosomal RNA is filed under the name uncultured bacterium. Its description in RNAcentral is "bacterial SSU rRNA". It matches the Rfam family "Bacterial small subunit ribosomal RNA", at positions 28 to 1381 of the family's 1533-position model. The record is from RNAcentral.
AUUGAACGCUGGCGGCAUGCCUUACACAUGCAAGUCGAACGGCAGCACGGAGCUUGCUCUGGUGGCGAGUGGCGAACGGGUGAGUAAUAUAUCGGAACGUACCCUGGAGUGGGGGAUAACGUAGCGAAAGUUACGCUAAUACCGCAUACGAUCUAUGGAUGAAAGUGGGGGAUCGCAAGACCUCAUGCUCGUGGAGCGGCCGAUAUCUGAUUAGCUAGUUGGUAGGGUAAAAGCCUACCAAGGCAUCGAUCAGUAGCUGGUCUGAGAGGACGACCAGCCACACUGGAACUGAGACACGGUCCAGACUCCUACGGGAGGCAGCAGUGGGGAAUUUUGGACAAUGGGCGAAAGCCUGAUCCAGCAAUGCCGCGUGAGUGAAGAAGGCCUUCGGGUUGUAAAGCUCUUUUGUCAGGGAAGAAACGGUGAGGGCUAAUAUCCCUUGCUAAUGACGGUACCUGAAGAAUAAGCACCGGCUAACUACGUGCCAGCAGCCGCGGUAAUACGUAGGGUGCAAGCGUUAAUCGGAAUUACUGGGCGUAAAGCGUGCGCAGGCGGUUUUGUAAGUCUGAUGUGAAAUCCCCGGGCUCAACCUGGGAAUUGCAUUGGAGACUGCAAGGCUAGAAUCUGGCAGAGGGGGGUAGAAUUCCACGUGUAGCAGUGAAAUGCGUAGAUAUGUGGAGGAACACCGAUGGCGAAGGCAGCCCCCUGGGUCAAGAUUGACGCUCAUGCACGAAAGCGUGGGGAGCAAACAGGAUUAGAUACCCUGGUAGUCCACGCCCUAAACGAUGUCUACUAGUUGUCGGGUCUUAAUUGACUUGGUAACGCAGCUAACGCGUGAAGUAGACCGCCUGGGGAGUACGGUCGCAAGAUUAAAACUCAAAGGAAUUGACGGGGACCCGCACAAGCGGUGGAUGAUGUGGAUUAAUUCGAUGCAACGCGAAAAACCUUACCUACCCUUGACAUGGCUGGAAUCCCCGAGAGAUUGGGGAGUGCUCGAAAGAGAACCAGUACACAGGUGCUGCAUGGCUGUCGUCAGCUCGUGUCGUGAGAUGUUGGGUUAAGUCCCGCAACGAGCGCAACCCUUGUCAUUAGUUGCUACGAAAGGGCACUCUAAUGAGACUGCCGGUGACAAACCGGAGGAAGGUGGGGAUGACGUCAAGUCCUCAUGGCCCUUAUGGGUAGGGCUUCACACGUCAUACAAUGGUACAUACAGAGCGCCGCCAACCCGCGAGGGGGAGCUAAUCGCAGAAAGUGUAUCGUAGUCCGGAUUGUAGUCUGCAACUCGACUGCAUGAAGUUGGAAUCGCUAGUAAUCGCGGAUCAGCAUGUCGCGGUGAAUACGUUCCCGGGUCU